This 253-nucleotide ribosomal RNA is filed under the name uncultured bacterium. Its description in RNAcentral is "partial 16S ribosomal RNA". It matches the Rfam family "Bacterial small subunit ribosomal RNA", at positions 524 to 776 of the family's 1533-position model. The record is from RNAcentral.
UACGAAGGGGGCUAGCGUUGCUCGGAAUCACUGGGCGUAAAGGGUGCGUAGGCGGGGCUUUAAGUCCGGGGGGAAAUCCUGGAGCUCAACUCCAGAACUGCCUUUGAUACUGAAGAUCUUGAGUUCGGGAGAGGUGAGUGGAACUGCGAGUGUAGAGGUGAAAUUCGUAGAUAUUCGCAAGAACACCAGUGGCGAAGGCGGCUCACUGGCCCGAUACUGACGCUGAGGCACGAAAGCGUGGGGAGCAAACAGG